This 253-nucleotide ribosomal RNA is filed under the name uncultured bacterium. RNAcentral's name for it is "partial 16S ribosomal RNA". It matches the Rfam family "Bacterial small subunit ribosomal RNA", at positions 524 to 776 of the family's 1533-position model. The record is from RNAcentral.
UACGUAGGGUGCGAGCGUUAAUCGGAAUUACUGGGCGUAAAGCGUGCGCAGGCGGUCUCGCAAGACCGAUGGGAAAUCCCCGGGCUUAACCUGGGAAUGGCAUUGGUGACUGCACGGCUAGAGUGUGUCAGAGGGGGGUAGAAUUCCACGUGUAGCAGUGAAAUGCGUAGAGAUGUGGAGGAAUACCGAUGGCGAAGGCAGCCCCCUGGGAUAACACUGACGCUCAUGCACGAAAGCGUGGGGAGCAAACAGG